Non-coding RNA from Otolemur garnettii (small-eared galago), 144 nucleotides. The record is from Rfam. NCBI's taxonomy places the organism in Eukaryota, Metazoa, Chordata, Mammalia, Primates, Galagidae.
ACCUUUGUGCAGUGGAAGUAUAUCGUAGCCAAUGAGGUUUAUCCGAGGCGCAAUUACUGCUAAUUGAAACAAUUGGGUAGUUUCUGAUUCUUAUCAAUAUAACUUACUUUAUAUAAAGGACUAGAAUCAAAAUAGUAAAAACUA